GUAGGUGGCAAGCGUUGUCCGGAAUUAUUGGGCGUAAAGCGCGCGCAGGCGGUCCUUUAAGUCUGAUGUGAAAGCCCACGGCUCAACCGUGGAGGGUCAUUGGAAACUGGGGGACUUGAGUACAGAAGAGGAAAGCGGAAUUCCAAGUGUAGCGGUGAAAUGCGUAGAGAUUUGGAGGAACACCAGUGGCGAAGGCGGCUUUCUGGUCUGUAACUGACGCUGAGGCGCGAAAGCGUGGGGAGCAAACAGGGAUUAGAUACCCUGGUAGUCCACGCCGUAAACGGUGAGUGCUAAGUGUUAGGGGGUUUCCCGCCCCCUUAGUGCUGCAGCUAACGCAUUAAGCACUCCGCCUGGGGGAGUACGGCCGCAAGGCUG
This 375-nucleotide ribosomal RNA is filed under the name uncultured organism. RNAcentral describes it as "partial 16S ribosomal RNA". It matches the Rfam family "Bacterial small subunit ribosomal RNA", at positions 527 to 896 of the family's 1533-position model. The record is from RNAcentral.